Molecule: ribosomal RNA, 874 nt
Filed under: Thermoascus aurantiacus
Lineage: Eukaryota; Fungi; Ascomycota; Eurotiomycetes; Eurotiales; Thermoascaceae
Description: LSU rRNA
Rfam family: Eukaryotic large subunit ribosomal RNA
Source: RNAcentral
AUUGCCCCAGUAACGGCGAGUGAAGCGGCAAGAGCUCAAAUUUGAAAUCUGGCCCCGUCGGGGUCCGAGUUGUAAUUUGCAGAGGAUGCUUCGGGUGCGGCCCCCGUCUAAGUGCCCUGGAACGGGCCGCCGGAGAGGGUGAGAGUCCCGUCUGGGACGGGUGGCCGCGUCCGUGUGAAGCUCCUUCGACGAGUCGAGUUGUUUGGGAAUGCAGCUCUAAAUGGGUGGUAAAUUUCAUCUAAAGCUAAAUAUUGGCCGGAGACCGAUAGCGCACAAGUAGAGUGAUCGAAAGAUGAAAAGCACUUUGAAAAGAGAGUUAAAUAGCACGUGAAAUUGUUGAAAGGGAAGCGCUUGCGACCAGACUCGCCCGCGGGGGUUCAGCCGGCACUCGUGCCGGUGCACUCCCCCGCGGGCGGGCCAGCGUCGGUUUGGGCGGUCGGUCAAAGGCCCCCGGAAUGUGUCGCCCCUCGGGGCGUCUUAUAGCCGGGGGUGCAAUGCGGCCAGCCCGGACCGAGGACCGCGCUUCGGCAUGGACGCUGGCGUAAUGGUCGUAAGCGACCCGUCUUGAAACACGGACCAAGGAGUCUAACAUCUACGCGAGUGUUCGGGUGUUAAACCCGUCCGCGCAGUGAAAGCGAACGGAGGUGGGAACCCCUCGCGGGUGCACCAUCGACCGAUCCUGAUGUCUUCGGAUGGAUUUGAGUAAGAGCGUAGCUGUUGGGACCCGAAAGAUGGUGAACUAUGCCUGAAUAGGGCGAAGCCAGAGGAAACUCUGGUGGAGGCUCGCAGCGGUUCUGACGUGCAAAUCGAUCGUCAAAUUUGGGUAUAGGGGCGAAAGACUAAUCGAACCAUCUAGUAGCUGGUUCCUGCCGAA